Molecule: transfer-messenger RNA, 328 nt
Filed under: Rhodospirillaceae bacterium
Lineage: Bacteria; Pseudomonadati; Pseudomonadota; Alphaproteobacteria; Rhodospirillales; Rhodospirillaceae
Rfam family: Alphaproteobacteria transfer-messenger RNA
About the family: Bacterial tmRNA, also known as 10Sa RNA or SsrA, is named for its dual tRNA and mRNA-like properties. Its role is to liberate the mRNA from a stalled ribosome.
Source: RNAcentral
GGAGUGGCAAAGUUAACCGAUAGGUCUUAUAUUGGAAAUGCUGUGAAAGCAGCUAUGGCGCUAAACCUGCUGUGAAAUAAGUGUAGUGGACCCGGGGGCAGUGCCCGGCGCCUCCACCAAUUUAGCUCACUCGGACCGAACAGUCCAAGGGCUUUGCGGGGGCGAAACAGGCUCGACACGCACGGUAAAGACAGUAGCUGUUCCCGGCAUUGUACCACCGUUAUCGGGCUAAUUCUAAAAGUGCCAACGACAACGUUGAGUACGCCGCUGCUGCCUAGUAGGCAGUAAGCGCGGUUCGGGGGGCACCGGGCAACAGAAGCCCCCCACU